CUCAAAGUAGCUUGGAUAGCUUUGUAAUCGCUGGAAGCAUUAAGGGGACACCGGUAGUAAAUUUGAAGGAGCCAGUUAAGCUCGUUUUCACAAGUAUUUCUCAGAAAACUGGAAAUAAAAACAGUGCUUUGUGUUCCUUUUGGGACUUUAGUCUGGAAAAUUGGUCACAAGAAGGUUGUUGGCUUGAACGAGUUUUAGAUAAUGGAAGAGUUCUUUGCAACUGUAAUCAUAUGACCAACUUUGCAAUGCUAAUGGACAUGACGGCAACCACGAAUACCCCGACACACCAUAAGAUACUUGGUGUAGUCAGUUACGUUGGGUGCGCUCUAUCAUUGGUUGGACUAUUUAUGACGAUAAUCGCGACACUAAGAGCAAGAGAGCGCAGGAAAAAGGUCCCAAACAAGAUUUUGUUGAACUUCUGCAUCGCCUUGACACUAAUGAUAUUCGUAUUUAUGGUUGCGGCGGAGAAGGCCAAAUCCACGUUGUACAGCUGUCGGGCAGCGGCAAUUGCCUUGCAUUACUUCUUGUUAGCAACAUUCUUGUGGAUGGGGGUAGAAGCGUUGAAUAUGUAUCUGGCAUUUGUGAAAAUAUUCCCUUCUUCUUCCCAAUCCAAGUUCAUGCUAAGAUACUGUCUAUUUGC
Dendronephthya gigantea is the source of this 640-nucleotide long non-coding RNA. RefSeq lists it as uncharacterized. Lineage: Eukaryota; Metazoa; Cnidaria; Anthozoa; Malacalcyonacea; Nephtheidae. The transcript has 3 exons. The record is from RefSeq and is a predicted model, not a curated record.